Molecule: ribosomal RNA, 447 nt
Filed under: uncultured bacterium
Lineage: Bacteria
Description: bacterial SSU rRNA
Rfam family: Bacterial small subunit ribosomal RNA
Source: RNAcentral
UCGGGAAUUUUGGGCAAUGGGCGAAAGCCUGACCCAGCAACGCCGCGUGAAGGAUGAAGUAUUUCGGUAUGUAAACUUCGAAAGAAUAGGAAGAAUAAAUGACGGUACUAUUUAUAAGGUCCGGCUAACUACGUGCCAGCAGCCGCGGUAAUACGUAGGGACCAAGCGUUGUUCGGAUUUACUGGGCGUAAAGGGCGCGUAGGCGGCGCGGUAAGUCACUUGUGAAAUCUCUGAGCUUAACUCAGAACGGCCAAGUGAUACUGCAGUGCUAGAGUGCAGAAGGGGCAAUCGGAAUUCUUGGUGUAGCGGUGAAAUGCGUAGAUAUCAAGAGGAACACCUGAGGUGAAGACGGGUUGCUGGGCUGACACUGACGCUGAGGCGCGAAAGCUAGGGGAGCAAACGGGAUUAGAUACCCAAGUAGUCCCUGAGCGGGCUGGCAAGGCGCAU